ACGCUCGACACCUACGGGAGGUAGCAGUCGGGAAUAUUGCGCAAUGGAGGAAACUCUGACGCAGUGACGCCGCGUAUAGGAAGAAGGUUUUCGGAUUGUAAACUAUUGUCGUUAGGGAAGAAAAAGGACAGUACCUAAGGAGGAAGCUCCGGCUAACUACGUGCCAGCAGCCGCGGUAAUCUGAGCGGGCUGGCAAGGC
This 199-nucleotide ribosomal RNA is filed under the name uncultured bacterium. RNAcentral's name for it is "partial 16S ribosomal RNA". It matches the Rfam family "Bacterial small subunit ribosomal RNA", at positions 328 to 539 of the family's 1533-position model. The record is from RNAcentral.